RNAcentral lists this long non-coding RNA (1085 nucleotides) under Solanum tuberosum (potato). Its description in RNAcentral is "long non-coding RNA (STUB_LNC000819)". The record is from RNAcentral. Lineage: Eukaryota; Viridiplantae; Streptophyta; Magnoliopsida; Solanales; Solanaceae.
CCUUGUGAAAAGGAAGGGUACAUAAUUUGUGCAGUCAGGAACUGGUGAAGCUGGGGUAUCAGAAAGUGACUGCAUCAUAGGAUUUAUUUGCUGUCAUUAGUCUGCUGAAGCUGAAAGCAUUAGACCCGAACAUAGCACUUGAUCAAAUUGCUUCUCUAGCUGCAUGGGAUUUUUGCAUCUGCUGUUGUAUCCAAGUAAGCAACAAGCUUCAUUAAAGUGAUUGUUAGGCUGCCGACAGCUGUUGUUCGAUUCUCUGUGUUCCCUUAAGUAGUGAUUUUUUCUUAAUCAUGAUUAGUUAGGGAGGUUGUAUUCUAGUAAUCUGUGCAUUAUUUUCUAUUUUGGAACAUGCGUACACACCCCCUAGUAGCUUCAAAGAGAAAUCAAGUUGUGCAUUCUCAAUGUGUCUCCCUCUCUUCGUCUUACUAUAGAAUUCUGAAGGACAACACUAAAUCCUUGGCUUUUGGUUAUUUUGAGACUUAACUGCUAUGUCAUACUUUUUCAGGAUUUCAAAGACAAAAUACCCAUGCUACAGGUGAAAUCUGGUCAAAUGGAUUUUGUCUGAACCAACAGAUCGUCUCUGCUGAGCCUUCUGCAGCACAUUGCAUGCAUAUAUCUUCUGUUCAGCAAUAAUAACUAGAUGACUCCAGCUACUUGGAAGUCUUCAAGCCAGUCAUAAUCCUUAAUGAGGUGUUACAACUGCAGUCAAUAUGACCUCGACCUUUGCUUUUGCAGAGAAAGGACAGUUGCUUACCAGAUGUUUAUAAAUUGGUUCUUUCGUACAACCAAUUGGAUAUUCUUGUGUUGUGUGAAUUCCUUUUUACCAAAAGUUAUGAGGAACCUCAGAGGUUUUGGGCCCUCAAGGAGGAAUUCGAGAAGUCCUCAGGGCUUUCGUCUAUUGGUAAGAGCACAACGCAUGAUGUGUGGAUUAGGUGCAUGUCACAAGUUUGAACUCUGCCGCAGACAGAAUCCUGGUAUUUAAGUGGAGAAGGGUUAAGGUACAGGUCCAUUAUCCACCGAACUUCAGACUGUGCACCAGUUGGCUCUCAAAAAAUUUCAGUUGUCAACGAAAAUAGAAGAGAUUUUGG